UACGUAGGGUGCGAGCGUUGUCCGGAAUUAUUGGGCGUAAAGGGCUCGUAGGCGGUUUGUCACGUCGGGUGUGAAAACUCGGGGCUUAACCCCGAGCCUGCUUCCGAUACGGGCUGACUAGAGGUAUGCAGGGGAGAACGGAAUUCCUGGUGUAGCGGUGAAAUGCGCAGAUAUCAGGAGGAACACCGGUGGCGAAGGCGGUUCUCUGGGCAUUACCUGACGCUGAGGAGCGAAAGUGUGGGGAGCGAGCAGG
This 253-nucleotide ribosomal RNA is filed under the name uncultured bacterium. RNAcentral describes it as "partial 16S ribosomal RNA". It matches the Rfam family "Bacterial small subunit ribosomal RNA", at positions 524 to 776 of the family's 1533-position model. The record is from RNAcentral.